GGGUUUCAUAUUUAUGUUUUUGGCACGUCAAGCAAUUCUGCACAAAUAUCCGGACAUCCUUCUUCAUGUGAGGCCAAUAAUGAUAAGCUGCAAGCCUGCAAUUUUCUUUAAGGUUUUGAGAAAACCACCAUGUUCUGCUAAUGGUGUGGAAUGUGCUUCAUGGAGUAUUACUUCACGAAUAGUUGGGUUAUAGGGGAUGACCAUCCGUCCUUUGUAAAGGAGAGUUUGACCGACCAACAAGUAAUCUUACUCUUUUGUGGAUCAAACUCCUCAUCGAUCUCUGUAACAUCCAGGCAAAUAAGGCAUGGCAAAAGUGAGUAACUCAGCAGAAUGAGGUCUUCUUGAUAAUGCGUCGGCACCUCGAUUCUCUUUACUGGGCACGGUGGAUCAUAGAAAAGUCAUAGGGAUCAGUUUUAACAGCAGGGCUGUGGUUCAGUGGUUGUGAUUCUCUGUUCCAGCAAGAAUUUAAGAGUUUUGUGGUCAGUCUUUAUAAAAAAAAUGUUGACCCGGUAGAUGGUGAUUCCACGUUUGAUUUGCUAAAACGAGUGCCAUAUGCGGAUUUAAACUGGUUGGAAGGUGAGAACCUCUUGCUAAAGUAAGCAACUGGAUGAUCCUCCUGAAUCAGAAAAACGCCUAGACCUCCUGAUCGACAUGUACCCCUUCUACAGUGAUCAUGCCCCAAAAGUAGAACUUUAGCUUGACCGAAGCAGCAUUUUGGAUAAUUUGGCAAAGAUGUUUGGAUAGUAACUCCAAAGCUGUUUGCAAGUGAGUAACAUGUUGCUCCAUAUCUGAGCUAUUAAUCAAAAUGUCAUCCAAAAACACCGGCACAAAGACGCAAAUACGGUCGAAAAAGAUCAUUCAUAGCUGUCUGAAAAGUGGAGGAGGCAUAUUAGUAAGACCAAAUAAAGGGCAAUACCGUAAACUCGUAGCGUCCAGAUCCAGAAUGAGUCCUGAAAGCAGUCUUCUCAAUAUCGAAAGGGUUUACACGGAUUUGAUAGUACCCCACACGUAGAUCUAACUUAGUAAAUACCGUGGCUCCAUAUAAAUCAUCCAGCAACCAUAAGCUUAUUUAGAGCACGAUAAGCAAUGCAACGUGUUAUCUUUUUUCUUAACUAUAAGUACUGGGCUAGAAAAGGGGCUGGUGAUUGGCUGAAUGAACCCAGCCCAUAGCAAUAUUUCCACUUGCCUCUUGAUUUCAGUUUUUUGGAACGGGCAUCUAUGUGGUCUGAUGUUGGGUGGUACAGAAUUGGCUAAAGAGGAAUAACAUGAAAAUGAGAAAAAAAUGAAGAAGUUUGGUUGGUUGUUCUUGAAAUACUUGGUCAAACUUUUGGAUAAGAGGCUGCAAGGCAAUUGCUAUUUCUUGUUUCUGUUCUGUCUCAAUGCUAAGGUGCUGAAAAGCAGCUGAUUUUUGAGGGCCAGAAGCCACCCCUAGUAAAUUUGUAUUUUUUACCAUCCACAGUGAAGAUACUAAACAAGUCCUUCCAAUUAGCUUGGACGGUGUUUAAUGUAGCUAACCAUUGGAUACCCAGGACCAAAUCAGGGGGACAAUCUCAAGAUCGAAUAUUUAUAACGAGAGUUUUCCUUUGCGUGCACAUUUACAGUUUUGCUGCCUUUCAACUUUCAACCCUCAAGAUGGAUGUUUAUAUCGGAUGGUCCUGAUGAUCAUUUUGCUGGUCAACCAAACCGCCUUCCCAUUUAUGGACCUCGUUUAUGUCGGCUGCAACCACAAACCAUCCUAAAAAUUGGAUGAAUGAAAGAUAUUCUGUAACAAUGUAUAUAUUAAAUACUUAUAUAUGUAAUAAAUUGCUUCUGAUAAUACAACGUUAAACAUGAACCGGGUUAAAAAUGUAUGCGUUGAUUAUUAU
Molecule: long non-coding RNA, 1865 nt
Filed under: Helianthus annuus (common sunflower)
Lineage: Eukaryota; Viridiplantae; Streptophyta; Magnoliopsida; Asterales; Asteraceae
Description: hypothetical non coding rna
Source: RNAcentral